GAGGGUGUAGCUCAGUGGUAGAGUGCAUGCCUCACGUGCACAAGGUCCUGGGUUCAAUCCCUAGUACCUCCA
Molecule: transfer RNA, 72 nt
Filed under: Camelus bactrianus (Bactrian camel)
Lineage: Eukaryota; Metazoa; Chordata; Mammalia; Artiodactyla; Camelidae
Also listed under: 2 other names
Rfam family: tRNA
About the family: Transfer RNA (tRNA) molecules are approximately 80 nucleotides in length.
Source: Rfam by way of RNAcentral